Molecule: small nucleolar RNA, 66 nt
Organism: Plectropomus leopardus (leopard coralgrouper)
Lineage: Eukaryota; Metazoa; Chordata; Actinopteri; Perciformes; Serranidae
Product: small nucleolar RNA SNORD58
Source: RefSeq, a predicted model, not a curated record
UUGCGGUGAUGACCAUUUAGGACACCUUUGUAUCAACCGUGAAAAUAAAACACCAGUCUGAGCGAC